RNAcentral lists this long non-coding RNA (318 nucleotides) under Homo sapiens (human). RNAcentral describes it as "HSALNT0217152". The record is from RNAcentral. Lineage: Eukaryota; Metazoa; Chordata; Mammalia; Primates; Hominidae.
CCGACCUUGAGAAGGAAAUUCACUGAGCCAUUCCUUACGAGUGUUCCCAGGAGAAACAGGAAAGUGAGAAGUCAAGUCGGUCCAAGAAGAAUAAAGAGGCCAAGCCCAGUUGCAUAUCAGCAAUCUCACAGAGAGAGCUGCCUCAGUCCCUCGAGGCACAGUGACCCAUGAUAUUCAAGGUGGUGGCUCCUUUGUCAGAUGAAUUCCUGAGUGACCAUAAGCAGAGAUCUCCUAACGACCCAUGAUGGGUAGUGUGAGCAAGUAUGAACCAUCUAGUGGAGCAAGAAAUAGUGCCUAUAUAAGCACUGAGAUUUGAGG